Molecule: ribosomal RNA, 429 nt
Filed under: Bacteroidota bacterium
Lineage: Bacteria; Pseudomonadati; Bacteroidota
Description: Bacteroidetes bacterium partial 16S ribosomal RNA
Rfam family: Bacterial small subunit ribosomal RNA
Source: RNAcentral
UAGGGAAUCUUCCGCAAUGGACGCAAGUCUGACGGAGCAACGCCGCGUGAGUAAAGAAGGAUUUCGGUUCGUAAAACUCUGUUGUUAGAGAAGAACAGCGCAUAGAGUAACUGUUAUGCGUGUGACGGUAUCUAACCAGAAAGCCACGGCUAACUACGUGCCAGCAGCCGCGGUAAUACGUAGGUGGCAAGCGUUGUCCGGAUUUAUUGGGCGUAAAGCGAGCGCAGGCGGUCAAUUAAGUCUGAUGUGAAAGCCCCCGGCUCAACCGGGGAGGGUCAUUGGAAACUGGUUGACUUGAGUGCAGAAGAGGAGAGUGGAAUUCCAUGUGUAGCGGUGAAAUGCGUAGAUAUAUGGAGGAACACCAGUGGCGAAGGCGACUCUCUGGUCUGUAACUGACGCUGAGGCUCGAAAGCGUGGGUAGCAAACAGG